Non-coding RNA from Myodes glareolus (Bank vole), 494 nucleotides. Lineage: Eukaryota; Metazoa; Chordata; Mammalia; Rodentia; Cricetidae. The record is from RefSeq and is a predicted model, not a curated record.
UCGGAAACAGACCUGAGCACAGCAUGAGAGAUGUGAGUUAAACCUAAUGCAGAACAGGGGGGAGAUGAGGAAGAAAAGGCAGCAAGUACAGGACAAGAGUUGCUAUAAACAGAGCCAUUAGGAGAUCCUGCUCCACCAAACAGACUGAGAAAGCUAAGAGAGCAAUAGUAACCCUGACGGAGACUCGCUGCCUCUAAUGCCUCCUUCGUCUUUUGAAGCUGGACAAGAAGAAACGAACAACUUUCAAGGUCCAGUCAAAUCCGCAUUCCUUUCAUAGACUACUGUACUCGUUGGCCUGACAACUGGCGCCUCAUGAGGAUGGAUGAGAAAGGGUCCAAAAGUGACAGGAGGUUAAGAGAAAGGCUGGCAUUCGUGCUAUACUCCAUGGGACAAGACCACUAGACUGGUGUCUCCACUCAGAUGCUUUGUAUCAUGCUGUGACUUAACAAAUCGUCUUUCCAAUCCAUACUAUUCUGUUCAUGUGUCCCCCUCAA